UUGCAUUCAACAUGUCUUCUAUUUCAGCCAAUGUCAGCCCUCCAUUCAAUCUUGCCCCCAAGUUUGAUCCCAUGAAAUCAUAUCUAUACUAAACUUCCUUCUAAAUGUUUCUUCAGCGCACACAUUUCACAAUCUUCCUUCAGCCUCCUUCAUUCCAUUUGGGUUUCUGUCAUUGUCUACCAACUAGGCUUUCUUGCUCCUUUCAACCCACUUCCCCUAUUGCAAGCCAUCAGUAAUCCGGUAAUCUUCCUAAAAGCGAGCUCUGUCCACAGCCCUCCCCUGCCUGCAGUGAAUCCCAGGAUCCCAGCUGCUUACCUGGCCUGGCCAUGCCCCGCUUCCAUCUGGAGAUCUGCAGUCCAUCCAUAUUGAACCCCUUUGUUUCUUGAGUGAACUGAGCGCUGCAGUUUCUUGGCUUUCACACCUGCUGUUGUCUUCACUGGGUACACCUCUGACCUUUUUGUUUCCUGGAACCUACUUCUCUUUGCCCUGUGUCUGGCUGAAUCUUACUCACGCUUCAAAUCUCAGCUUAAAAGUCUAUUUCUCUAGAAAAGAUUUCCUGAAGCUCUCUCCCCCAACCCUGAUUCGGGUAAAUGCUUACGCCAGGUGCUUCCUCCACCCUGGAACUUACCUUUGUUACUUAUUUGAUUGUUUUUCUCACUAGCUUGAAAGCUCUGCAGGGGCAGGGACUGUCUCUGUCAGGCACAUUUAUUUGCCAAGUGCCCAAAAUGCAGCAGGUUCUUUGAAUUUUGAAAUGAAUGGCUGUGUUGGGUGGCUCUGUAGGACACUGCUAUGGACGGCUCUCAGUCGCCUGACUCACCAAGACCACCACAGGCUCUGGAAAUUUGGAAAUGUACCCAGUGGCCUUUCAAGUUUUGGUUAAUCUCACUUUACUAAUACUUUGAAGAGGCCAAUGACGUUGCCCCUCAGUUCAAAGAGCAAUUUCACAUCUUUCUUGAGCCAUCUGCUACGUGAACCUCUGUGAGUUGGACUGGGUGGGCACCAAAUGGCAGCCAAAAAUUAAUCUUUUAGGGUCUCCUUAUCCUAAAUCUUAGAGCAUUAUAAUGGCUGUCAAGAAAUUCAUAACUUCUGCGUCUUAUCAGUAGAGAAAUACCGACGUCUGUGGGUGGCAGAUAAACAGAUAACGGAGUUUUGUGGGCUUUGGGCAUAUAAUUCUUUCUUUCGGUGUUAACCCUCAGGUCACGUCUUUCCAGCCCAGGAGAAUAAAUCAAACAGAAAGAGUCAGGAGAAACUGCAAGGCUAGAGUGUUAGUCAAAUAGUUUACCUAGAUGUUGAGGUGUCGGCAGUGAUGAGAGUCAUUGGGGUGGCAACCUCAUCACGGCAUUUAGAGCUGUUGCCCAACCCCUCCCUGAGACACCCCCUUCCAGUUUGAAGCCUCUCUGCCUUCAGGGCCCAUGGUUUUCUAACUUCCUGCCCUUCUACUACCUGGUAAUUCCUUGCUACCUUUGCUGCUCCUUCCCCCUCCUGUCCCUGAGAGGAGGGCCUUUCCCUGGUGUUUGCUUCUUACUUAUCUUCCCUCUCUCCUCUCUCUCUUUCCAGCAAUCUUGUCACUCCACGAGGGUUCAACUAGCUGCAUCUCCUCAGCCCCAUCUUUCUUGAGACUGCAGGGUCUGAAUUUCUGAAUGGAAAUUCCUCCAGGCAGGCAUUUUGGUUGAAUAAGAACUAAGGUUUGAACAGGAAAGAUGAGAAGAGCAGGAGAUGAGAUACCCUCUCCUCUCCUAGUCCUCCACCUCCAUCCCUCUUCAGUUUGGAUCCUGGCUGGGCUGGACCCCGCAUGUUGACAACAAGGAUGUGUUGUGUGGCAUCUUUUUAAUUAAUUUUCAUAUAUGAAUUUACAGGUAGGGUAAGGAUUUCUUCUGUGGAAAAUGGUGCUGAGAUUCCAAUCCCUGCUGAGUUGAGGUUAUAAAGCUAUGGUUGACCUGGAUGAUCUCAGUUGAAGGUCAUAUUUUGGAAACGGUAACAGUGGCUCUGGUAGGGAGUUCACAACAUGGUUGGUUCUGAGCAGGACCAACCAUGUGUUAGGGAAAAUAUUUAUUCAAUAGAAAAAUGAAUAAAAACCAGAAAGAGAAGAAGAGAAUUGCUGAUUCUGGAAAUGGCAAGGUGGCUGGUCCUGGAACUCAGCUUAGUCCACCCCUUGGCAGUUUUUAAUGUAUUCUCAGGGUAAGAUGUGUACAUGUAUUUGUAAAUGAGGCAUGAAUUUAAAGAACUGUUACUUCUGGGAACCCAGGAAGCUUUGCUGAGGGAUCUUACCCUGGAGAGCACAGUAUAAAAGAAAGUAAUUCUCUCUCUUGCCUCAUAGCAACUACUUUGGGGAAGGGACUUUACAAACAUCUGCCCCAAGGCUGGGUGACAGCUGCAUAUCUGUGCAGUGUUUGUACGGGGCAUGCAAUACUUUACACACUAGCAGGGACACCUGCAGCAUCAGUAGGUUUCUGGUCUACCAAGAGCAGUGUGAUGAUGCACUCCAGGCCAGCUGGGGUGGUUGCUGUGGCGAGUAACAUUGUUAAUUCUACCAACACAGGGGGCUGAUGGGUAAAUGACACUGUUGGCAUCAGCAGUGGGCAUGGUGUGCUAACCCUUAACACUGUGCCAGGUGGGGAUGUUGGACCCAGUGGGGAUUACAGUUUUGCUAUCUGUGUGUAAGAACAAUGCUCAGAACAGUGUGCAGCAUGGGUUGUGCAGUGCACGACAGGGGCAUGUGUGAGCACUCAGCAGAUUAUUGGAACUCCUUGGAAAACUGGACCAAGACCUCCAAGGCAGAAGGGUGCUUGGGGAUAUCACUGGAACUGUGAAAUAACCAUACAUAAAAACUAAGACAUUGUGAUCAAAGUACAUAAUGUGCUGGCUAGUUUUUAUUUUUAUAUUGGUUUAUAUUUUAUUUUGUUUCCCAUCUCUUGUCACUCCAACUUAUUUGAAGCACUAUUGUCAAGAAUGACAUUUUAAAGCAUAAUUUGCUGGCCAAGUUACAAAUACUGCUCACCCUUGCUUCCACUCCAAACAAACAAACAAACAACAGCAACAACAAAUGCUCCCAUUUUCUAUACUAUGUCCAACAUCCUCUAGUCUGCCAUCUGCAAGCCUUCAUGAGUGGGUAGUUCCAGGGAUAUUUCUCAUUAGUCUCUUUCACAAACAGGUCCAGCAAAGAGAAUUACUGACCCUUGCUCUCACGCUUUCUGCACUCUCCUGGCCUUGGGACUGUGCUCCUUUUGUUUACCUUCUCUCAUUUUUUCUAGCUCCAAUCCUGCCGGUCCUUCAGGGCUCAGAUCCAAUGCAUGCCUUCCACAGUGCCCUUCCCACACCGCUCAGCUGGAUGCAAACUCUUCCUUUUCUGUGGCUCCUUGUGUUUUUUUUAUGAGGUUUUACCACUUUCCAUCUUCUGCACUUAUAAUUUGUAUGCAUGGGUCAUCUCCACUUAUUAAGGAUAAACCCCCUGCAGGCUGAAGCUUGGCCUGAUAUAACAUUGCUUUUCUGGGCAGGACCAACCAUGUGUUAGGGAAAAUAUUUAUUCA
RNAcentral lists this long non-coding RNA (3527 nucleotides) under Homo sapiens (human). RNAcentral describes it as "HSALNT0101400". Lineage: Eukaryota; Metazoa; Chordata; Mammalia; Primates; Hominidae. The record is from RNAcentral.